UACGGAGGGGGCUAGCGUUGUUCGGAAUUACUGGGCGUAAAGCGUGCGCAGGCGGUUUUUCAAGACAGAUGUGAAAUCCCCGGGCUUAACCUGGGAAUGGCAUUUGUGACUGGAAGGCUAGAGUGUGUCAGAGGGGGGUAGAAUUCCACGUGUAGCAGUGAAAUGCGUAGAGAUGUGGAGGAAUACCGAUGGCGAAGGCAGCCCCCUGGGAUAACACUGACGCUCAUGCACGAAAGCGUGGGGAGCAAACAGG
This 253-nucleotide ribosomal RNA is filed under the name uncultured bacterium. RNAcentral's name for it is "partial 16S ribosomal RNA". It matches the Rfam family "Bacterial small subunit ribosomal RNA", at positions 524 to 776 of the family's 1533-position model. The record is from RNAcentral.